This 502-nucleotide ribosomal RNA is filed under the name uncultured bacterium. RNAcentral describes it as "partial 16S ribosomal RNA". It matches the Rfam family "Bacterial small subunit ribosomal RNA", at positions 28 to 507 of the family's 1533-position model. The record is from RNAcentral.
GACGAACGCUGGCGGCGUGCCUAAUACAUGCAAGUCGAACGAACCGCGACUAGGUGCUUGCACUUGGUCAAGGUGAGUGGCGAACGGGUGAGUAACACGUGGGUAACCUACCUCAUAGUGGGGGGUAACAGUCGGAAACGACUGCUAAUACCGCAUAGGACAUAGGAUCACAUGAUUCUGUGAGGAAAGGUGGCGCAAGCUAUCGCUAAGAGAUGGACCCGCGGUGCAUUAGCUAGUUGGUAGGGUAAAGGCCUACCAAGGCGAUGAUGCAUAGCCGACCUGAGAGGGUGAUCGGCCACAUUGGGACUGAGACACGGCCCAAACUCCUACGGGAGGCAGCAGUAGGGAAUCUUCCGCAAUGGACGCAAGUCUGACGGAGCAACGCCGCGUGAGUGAAGAAGGUCUUCGGAUCGUAAAGCUCUGUUGUUAGAGAAGAACAGCGCAUAGAGUAACUGUUAUGCGUGUGACGGUAUCUAACCAGAAAGCCACGGCUAACUACGUG